Molecule: ribosomal RNA, 681 nt
Filed under: Triticum aestivum (bread wheat)
Lineage: Eukaryota; Viridiplantae; Streptophyta; Magnoliopsida; Poales; Poaceae
Description: partial small subunit ribosomal RNA
Source: RNAcentral
AUGGAUCAGGAGCUGAUCGAGCACCUUGAGGCCAAAGUGAGUGCUGACAGCACGAGAUUUCAGUCUCUCAUCGAUUUGUUCAUACUAACCAUCGACAGCGAGCACGACAUAUGCUACACCCAACCUGAGAAACUUCCAGGUAUCACACUGAGUGGCCAAACGAAGCAUUUCUUCCAGUGCAAUUCCAGGGCAUUCAAAAGGGGCACGUGGACGCGUCGCAAGAUACAGUCGGAGUGCGGCAUGCACGCGAUGUGGCACAAGACCAGCAAAACCUUGCCGGUGAUGAGGACCAACUCGGUGAUGCACCAGCACCACCUCGGGGACCUGGAGCAAGAGAAGGAGCGGGAGCUAGUCCUCUGCAAGUUGUACUACCUUGUCGUCCGCAAGUUGGUAUUGUUGUUAACGAUCUUUUGGUCGAGCAAGUGUCAACUGGGUUGUAGACUGCCCGGGGUUGGUUUUGUUUUUUACCAGGCCCAGCCCAUGACGAUAACGGGGCACAAAGAUCCAGCAGCCUCCCAGUCUGUCGUGGUGGACCAGCAGCCCAUUUGCUCGGCGGGCCAACCUACAGAAACCAGCACUCGAUUUUUCAACAAGCCCCAAAAACAACGCAGUACUAUGUUUGUUUUGAGGCCGAAAACAUCACGGCAAGGGUUGAGCAAGGGAGAGGGGAAGACAGAGUAA